AAUGAACGUUGGCGGCGUGGAUUAGGCAUGCAAGUCGAGCGUACCCAGCAAUGGGGAAGCGGCAAACGGGGUAGUAAUGCGUCGGUACGUGCCCUCGGGACGAGGAUAGCCACGGGAAACUGUGGGUAAUACUCGAUGAUCUCGCGAGAGCAAAGGUGUGACUCCGCCGGAGGAGCGGCUGACGUGGUAUUAGGUAGUUGGUAGGGUAAUGGCCUACCAAGCCUGGGAUGCCUAGGGGGUGUGAGAGCAUGGCCCCCCACCAUUGGGACGUGAGAAACUAGCCCACGACACCUACGGGUGGGCUGCAGUCGAGGAUCUUCGGCGAAUGGGCGGCAAGCCUGACCGAGCGACGCCGCGUGCGGGA
This 364-nucleotide ribosomal RNA is filed under the name uncultured bacterium. RNAcentral's name for it is "bacterial SSU rRNA". It matches the Rfam family "Bacterial small subunit ribosomal RNA", at positions 28 to 408 of the family's 1533-position model. The record is from RNAcentral.